UCAAAAUGUCAACAGAGAGAAGAAACGCGCAACAAAGUAGCAUCAAAUGACUGUGAACUUUGCCUCAUCGAUAGCAUUUCUGACUUGUUUUUGUAAAGAAUGUGAAUGAUGAACCGGAGUAUGGAUCAUUUUAGCACACUUAUCGCCGUGGUGUCAGGUGUAACGGUGUUGUAUCUCUUUCACUCAGUCUUUUACGCUUCUCACGUCUCAUUUAAAAUAACUCACACAGUCUUUGACUCCCAGAAGCAUUUGCCAGGUUCAGUUUACCUCAUGACCAGAUACAUUUAUCAAUGUCUCCGCAAAAAACGAGGAACAAUGAGGAAAAACAAAGACACAAACGACGAGCUUGUUUUCACUUUGGUCAACUGCAGGUAUGAUGCCGUAUCUUUGAGGAGGUUCUGCAGUGUUUCAGGUUAUGGUUGGGACUAUCCUGACAGUGUCUUCAGAGACGUUCCCUUAUGCUACCCUGAGUUUCUCUUCACCAGACUUCUCACUAUGAUUAUGUGCUCAGAGAGAUUCAAACUAAGCCCUUUGGGUCUGUUGAGUGUCUGUGAGAGUUUGAGUCUGAGCGAUGCCUUGGAUGAGCUGAAGAGAGAGACGUUCUCCCUGCAGGCUAGAGUGCUGAAGUACAGGACUGUUAGUGCUGGAGUGGAGGUGGAUCUCGCUUUAACUGCAUCUAGAGAUCAGCAGACCGUUUGGAGCAGCACACUGACUCUACUCUCGCCUAACAAUACAUACAGACCUGAUGCUCAGCCUGACUUAGAAAUCACCCAUGGUAAGGGACCCAGUGGUAUUGAAGACUGCAGGCAUAUCAGUGGCUGUGAGGAGCUGUUUUUACAUGUCCUAAUGCAGGACACUUUCAUCAGACAUUUUCAUUUACUGUAUGAACUGAACCUGUGUCUUUUUUCAGAUCCAGUCUCAGAGAGAUGCAUCAGCCUGGCUGUUCCUUGGUCCACAGGUGUGCGGAGCACCUGGGUGUUUGGUGACCUUUGCCCUCUGCCUGUGUUUGUUUGGCUGGGAUUUACCCGUCCCACCACACACCCACUGUGGAUGUUCUCCAGGUGCAUGGCAGAAAUGGAGAAACACAAAGGAGUUGAAGUGGUGAGAGCUCCUCUGACUGUGUCAGUCUGUUACAAACAGCCUGUGUCUUUACCGAGGAAAGUCAACAUCAGAGUCAGUGAAAACACUAGUGUAACCUUAAGCACAGCAUCAUUUUCGUUGGAGGACCACAGAACCAGGACACUGUACCUCUCAGGACAGAUAAAACGACAGACAAGCGAGAAAGCAGAAUGAUGGUGAUGUAAUCCUGACAGAAAGGAUACUAAGCACUCAACGGCUCGGGUGUCAGACAGGGUUAUGGUGGAACUGAGUAACAGAGGCCAUCACAAACAGUGAUCUCAGCCACAAACCUAAAAUACAAGGGCCCUAGGAAGCGACGCUCCUAUACGCUCCUAAUGAUAUUUGAAAUGUCUACUUUAAAGACGAUUAAGGGGACUUAUCAUAGAGAACAGGAAUCCUCUUGCUCUAUUGAACUGAAGGAAUCAAUGUCCUGUGUAGACAGACUCAGUUCACAACACUUACUCCUCAGUCCACUCUUACAGAUACUGUAUAAUAAUUCACAUAUAAAUUAAUAUUCUUUAUUCAGGAACUUGACCCACUCUGAUGAGCUACAGCAGAGGUUAGUCAAUCGUAACAUCAGCCAUUUACACACAGAAGCCUUAAAUAUACAGAAUCAAAACUGCCUGAUUAUUCCUAAGGAUUGGAGAGAGGUUUGAAAAUGGUCAUAUAUGACUAAAUAAAAGGUAAACAUGAAUAAAAAAAAUGCUACAAAAAUGUUAAAUAUUUCUAAUUUAAAUAGGGUUAUAUUCUAUACUUUUGCUUUUAAUUCACUAUUGUAUAAUGCAUAAUGCAUUGUACAUGUGCAGUCAAAUCACUUUUAAUCAGUGUCUGUGUCAGUAGGGGAGGAGUUUGAGUGGAGGGCCGUUUCUCAUGAAUAUUUCAGUCUCUCCAGUCUUUCCUUAUCCUUUCCCUAUGCAUGCACACACGUGUGUAAGUGCUCCAUGUGUAUUAUUCAUUAGUAUGUGUUCAGCGUAUGAGGAGGGCUUUCUCAUAAAAACUGCUUUCAGAACAACUUAACGUGUGUGUAUACACACAGUAUAUAAAAUAUACAAUAUAAAUAUAUUUUCUAUAUUAUGGCAGUAAAUUGACCUUGUUCGCACUGAAACAUUUACUUAAUUAUAAUGAGGAGUUAUCUAUGGUCUCUUACUAUGGUCAAUGUAAUAUAUUUCAUUUUGGGAGACGGAUAGAUGGAUAGAGAUUUUUAAAAUAUUAAUUUGAUUUAUUUUUUGCAAGCA
This is a long non-coding RNA of Sinocyclocheilus grahami, 2354 nucleotides long. Ensembl lists it as uncharacterized. The record is from Ensembl. Lineage: Eukaryota; Metazoa; Chordata; Actinopteri; Cypriniformes; Cyprinidae.